Molecule: ribosomal RNA, 694 nt
Filed under: uncultured bacterium
Lineage: Bacteria
Description: bacterial SSU rRNA
Rfam family: Bacterial small subunit ribosomal RNA
Source: RNAcentral
AACGCUAGCUACAGGCUUAACACAUGCAAGUUGAGGGGCAGCAUGGUCUUAGCUUGCUAAGGCCGAUGGCGACCGGCGCACGGGUGAGUAACACGUAUCCAACCUGCCGUCUACUCUUGGACAGCCUUCUGAAAGGAAGAUUAAUACAAGAUGGCAUCAUGAGUCCGCAUGUUCACAUGAUUAAAGGUAUUCCGGUAGACGAUGGGGAUGCGUUCCAUUAGAUAGUAGGCGGGGUAACGGCCCACCUAGUCUUCGAUGGAUAGGGGUUCUGAGAGGAAGGUCCCCCACAUUGGAACUGAGACACGGUCCAAACUCCUACGGGAGGCAGCAGUGAGGAAUAUUGGUCAAUGGGCGAGAGCCUGAACCAGCCAAGUAGCGUGAAGGAUGACUGCCCUAUGGGUUGUAAACUUCUUUUAUAAAGGAAUAAAGUCGGGUAUGUAUACCCGUUUGCAUGUACUUUAUGAAUAAGGAUCGGCUAACUCUGUGCCAGCAGCCGCGGUAAUACGGAGGAUCCGAGCGUUAUCCGGAUUUAUUGGGUUUAAAGGGAGCGUAGAUGGAUGUUUAAGUCAGUUGUGAAAGUUUGCGGCUCAACCGUAAAAUUGCAGUUGAUACUGGAUAUCUUGAGUGCAGUUGAGGCAGGCGGAAUUCGUGGUGUAGCGGUGAAAUGCUUAGAUAUCACGAAGAACUCCGAUUG